GAGUUUGAUCCUGGCUCAGGAUGAACGCUGGCGGCGUGCCUAAUACAUGCAAGUCGAGCGAACAGAUAAGGAGCUUGCUCCUUUGACGUUAGCGGCGGACGGGUGAGUAACACGUGGGUAACCUACCUAUAAGACUGGAAUAACUCCGGGAAACCGGGGCUAAUGCCGGAUAAUAUUUAGAACCGCAUGGUUCUAAAGUGAAAGAUGGUUUUGCUAUCACUUAUAGAUGGACCCGCGCCGUAUUAGCUAGUUGGUGGGGUAAUGGCUUACCAAGGCAACGAUACGUAGCCGACCUGAGAGGGUGAUCGGCCACACUGGAACUGAGACACGGUCCAGACUCCUACGGGAGGCAGCAGUAGGGAAUCUUCCGCAAUGGGCGAAAGCCUGACGGAGCAACGCCGCGUGAGUGAUGAAGGUCUUCGGAUCGUAAAACUCUGUUAUUAGGGAAGAACAAAUGUGUAAGUAACUGUGCACGUCUUGACGGUACCUAAUCAGAAAGCCACGGCU
Molecule: ribosomal RNA, 507 nt
Filed under: uncultured bacterium
Lineage: Bacteria
Description: bacterial SSU rRNA
Rfam family: Bacterial small subunit ribosomal RNA
Source: RNAcentral